GAGGAAUACCGAUGGCGAAGGCAGCCCCCUGGGAUAAUACUGACGCUCAGACACGAAAGCGUGGGGAGCUAACAGGAUUAGAUACCCUGGUAGUCCACGCCCUAAACGAUGUCAACUAGCUGUUGGGGCCGUUAGGCCUUAGUAGCGCAGCUAACGCGUGAAGUUGACCGCCUGGGGAGUACGGUCGCAAGAUGACAACUCAAAGGANUUGACNGGGACCNGCACAAGCAGUGGAUGAUGUGGAUNAAUNCGAUGCAACGCG
RNAcentral lists this ribosomal RNA (262 nucleotides) under bacterium T-1-48-11G. RNAcentral's name for it is "partial 16S ribosomal RNA". It matches the Rfam family "Bacterial small subunit ribosomal RNA", at positions 701 to 963 of the family's 1533-position model. The record is from RNAcentral.